This 372-nucleotide ribosomal RNA is filed under the name uncultured bacterium. RNAcentral describes it as "bacterial SSU rRNA". It matches the Rfam family "Bacterial small subunit ribosomal RNA", at positions 29 to 404 of the family's 1533-position model. The record is from RNAcentral.
AUUGAACGCUGGCGGCAUGCCUAACACAUGCAAGUCGAACGGCAGCGCGGGGCGAACCCUGCGGCGAGUGGCGGACGGGUGAGGAAUGCAUAGGAAUCUGCCCGGUUGUGGGGAGUAACGUAGGGAAACUUACGCUAAUACCGCAUACGACCUCGGGUGAAAGUGGGGAGCCUUCGGGCCUCACGCGAUCGGAUGAGCCUAUGCCCGAUUAGCUAGUUGGCGGGGUAAGAGCCCACCAAGGCGACGAUCGGUAGCUGGUCUGAGAGGAUGAUCAGCCACACUGGGACUGAGACACGGCCCAGACUCCUACGGGAGGCAGCAGUGGGGAAUAUUGGACAAUGGGCGAAAGCCUGAUCCAGCAACGCCGCGUGA